CGGUGGAUGAUGUGGUUAAUUCGAUGCAACGCGAAAACCUUACCACCUUGACAUGUACGGAAUCCUUAGAGAUAGAGGAGUGCUCGAAAGAGAGGCCGUAACGACAGGUGCUGCAUGGCUGUCGUCAGCUCGUGUCGUGAGAUGUUGGGUUAAGUCCCGCAACGAGCGCAACCCUUGUCAUUAGUUGCUACAUUCAGUUGGGCACUCUAAUGAGACUGCCGGUGACAAAACCGGAGGAAGUGGGGAUGACGUCAAGUCCUCAUGGCCCUUAUAGUGGGGCUACACACGUCAUACAAUGGAUGGUACAAAGGGUCGCCAACCCGCGAGGGGGAGCCAAUCCCAUAAAGCCAUUCGUAGUCCGGAUCGCAGUCUGCAACUCGACUGCGUGAAGUUGGAAUCGCUAGUAAUCGUGGAUCAGCCAAGCCGCGGUGAAUACGUUCCCGGGCCUU
This 449-nucleotide ribosomal RNA is filed under the name uncultured Acidovorax sp. RNAcentral's name for it is "bacterial SSU rRNA". It matches the Rfam family "Bacterial small subunit ribosomal RNA", at positions 930 to 1382 of the family's 1533-position model. The record is from RNAcentral. Lineage: Bacteria; Pseudomonadati; Pseudomonadota; Betaproteobacteria; Burkholderiales; Comamonadaceae.